Molecule: ribosomal RNA, 1253 nt
Filed under: uncultured Synechococcus sp.
Lineage: Bacteria; Bacillati; Cyanobacteriota; Cyanophyceae; Synechococcales; Synechococcaceae
Description: partial 16S ribosomal RNA
Rfam family: Bacterial small subunit ribosomal RNA
Source: RNAcentral
CAAGUCGUACGAAAGUUUUUAACUUUAGUGGCGGACGGGUGAGUAACACGUGAGAAUUUGCCUUUUGGAGGGGGAUAACAAUUGGAAACGAAUGCUAAUACCCCAUAUGCUUACUUAGUGAAAUGGAUUUUUAUCCGCCAGAAGGGAAGCUCGCGGCUGAUUAGCUUGUUGGUAAGGUAAGAGCUUACCAAGGCGACGAUCAGUAUCUGGUUUGAGAGGACGAUCAGACACACUGGAACUGAGACACGGUCCAGACUCCUACGGGAGGCAGCAGUGGGGAAUUUUCCGCAAUGGGCGAAAGCCUGACGGAGCAACGCCGCGUGAGGGAUGAAGGCCUCUGGGCUGUAAACCUCUUUUAUCAAGGAAGAAGAUCUGACGGUACUUGAUGAAUAAGCCACGGCUAAUUCCGUGCCAGCAGCCGCGGUAAUACGGGAGUGGCAAGCGUUAUCCGGAAUUAUUGGGCGUAAAGCGUCCGCAGGCGGCCCUUCAAGUCUGCUGUUAAAAAGUGGAGCUUAACUCCAUCAUGGCAGUGGAAACUGUUGGGCUUGAGUGUGGUAGGGGCAGAGGGAAUUCCCGGUGUAGCGGUGAAAUGCGUAGAUAUCGGGAAGAACACCAGUGGCGAAGGCGCUCUGCUGGGCCAUCACUGACGCUCAUGGACGAAAGCCAGGGGAGCGAAAGGGAUUAGAUACCCCUGUAGUCCUGGCCGUAAACGAUGAACACUAGGUGUCGGGGGAAUCGACCCCCUCGGUGUCGUAGCCAACGCGUUAAGUGUUCCGCCUGGGGAGUACGCACGCAAGUGUGAAACUCAAAGGAAUUGACGGGGGCCCGCACAAGCGGUGGAGUAUGUGUUUAAUUCGAUGCAACGCGAAGAACCUUACCAGGUUUGACAUCCUGCGAAUCUCUUGGAAACAGGAGAGUGCCUUCGGGAACGCAGUGACAGGUGGUGCAUGGCUGUCGUCAGCUCGUGUCGUGAGAUGUUGGUUAAGUCCCGCAACGAGCGCAAUCCACGUCUUUAGUGCAGCAUUAGUGGCACUCUAGAGAGACUGCUGGUGAUAAUCGAGAGGUGUGGAUGACGUCAGUCAUCAUGCCUACUCUGGCUACCACGUACUACAUGCUACGACAGGCUGCAGUCGCGGAGACAAGCAAUCCAUAACUGGUCAGUCAAUCGUAAGCUGCACUCCCUACGUGAGGGGAUCCUAGAUUCCAGGGCCACAAAUCGGGGGUAUAUAUUUUCUCCGCGGCCUGUGCUUAAG